GACACAAUAGCCAACUGUUGUGAUGUCACAGGACUCAACUUUUGUCAUUUUAGGUGGGGGUGCUGGGGUGGAGAAUGUGACAGAGGACAAGAAUACAGUUAUAGAACUGCAAUUCGUUUUUUCAUGCUAAUUUCCCUGGUAACGAAGGGCAGUGACUCAGAAAAGGAAAGGCAGCCUCUGGCAGCAAGGCUGUGUGUAGAUUCGUCUAUACCAAGGGAAGGAUGGUGGGGAGGCAGGGAAGAGACAAAAGAAAAGAAUUUCAAAUUCCAGGAUUGGCCAAAUAUGAAGAUACUCUCAGUCUGGCCAAGUCCAGGCAGGACCUUCUCUUUCCCUCACCCAUCGCCUGAGCCCAGAAAUAUGUUCCAGAGGACAAGGACUAUGUUGUUCAUCACAGUAUUCCAGAACUUAAAAGGAACUGGCACAUAAUAUUCGUCAAAAAAAUGAACAAACGGGGCAAUGACAAUGGUCUUGUGAAGCUGCUGCUAUUUACAGGGACUCACUCAUUCCGCAAGUAUUUUUUGCAUCCCCUACCACACUCCACUCAGUUGCUGGGAAUACCACAGUAAAGGCAGAUAAGGAAGCUUGGGGAAUGUGCCUCCUGCCCUCUUCUGGACCUGCCAGCAUGCUCACCAAGCACACUAAAGCCACCCACGUCACAGCUGACUCAUGCCAUUGCUCUCUGUAAUGAGAAAAGCUGUUUAUCCCUCUUCUCAUUUCUGCCCCGCUCUGAGCCCUGAGUUUUAGUGCCAGUGCUUUUACACAAAUCCAGCUUUACAUCUUCAGUGAAAUAUAAUUUCAUAGGAAUGUAACUCUGGAAUGAUCUCAUUGAAAAAGCACAUCCAGCAAAGGCCAUGAACAGACUUUAGGCCAGCCCAUUCACACCCAGAGCCAAGAAGAUUGCAGACCCCUUUCCCUUAAAUGGAGAAUGUGCCUGGGACCCAAAGCAAAGCACACCAGCUACCUAAGGAUAUUCUCCUGCCUACAGCCAGCCAGCCUGCCUGCCUGCUUGCAGACCACGGCCAGGGCCCACAGCAGCGACCACCAUGAGCCACUAUGGCACCAUACAAGGACAGACUCAAGAGGGCAUCCAAGCAAACAGGCCUCGCCGCAGAGACGUUGCCUCUGGCCCUCGGGAGGGCUCUGGCUCCAUGCCAUCAAACAUUAACUGAAAAUAUUAAUACUCCCCUGUCAUAGCCCCAUCGGAGACAGAAGAGUAUCCAGAACUCCAGCUGCUAAAGAUCCUCCACACACCUACCUGCCUUCCUAACUCUCUGAAACCCAAUUACCAUCUGACCCUAUUGAGAGAGAGUCAGAAAGUGGGGCAUUUGACUCUGAAACUAGAUGUCAAAGCCAGGCCCAGCCCAGUCCAGCAGAGCUGAGGCAGAGCAGAACUGGGGAAGAAAUAAUACAGUCUGAUGGACGCUCAAAUAAUCCUGCUGAAAAAAAAUCACCAAGUUGGAAUCUCUGGAAAAAAAGUCCUCGUUCCAAAUCUGUUCCCCACCCCCAAUGAAUUCUCAUAAAAUGGACCAGAAAAGGAGAAAAAAAAAAAAAACUUAAUGGCUUGCAGGAUCUAUGGGAACUCUCUGCACUAUCUUUGCAACUGUUCUGUAAAUCUGAAACUAUUCUAAAAUGUAACAUUUAUGAAAAAUAAUGGCUUAUCAUGGUUUCCUCUGUAAGAAACAAUGGGAAAAGCUUGAAAUUUGGGUAUGAAACUCGGCCUCUACCAGCUAUGAAGCUUUGGAUGCGUUGCCUACCCUUUCUAAGCUUCAGUUUCCUCAUCUGUAAAAUGGAGACAACAGUUCCAACCAUGAAGUGCUAUUGUGCAGAUUAAGUAAGAUAGAGCAUGCAAAGGACUUACCACUGCUAAAAGUGCUUUCUUGUCUGGGCAGCAGCAGUUUCUUCGCUCAGUCAGCCUUCACGAUGGGUUCUUGACAACUGCAGCUGGGGACCCUACCUCUACCCUUCAGCCCUACCUGUCUUUAUGACUAGCAGCCUGUUCCAGAAACAGCAGGACACUUUAAUCCCAAAGCACAGUAAUCACCUGAAGGGCUGAAGGCUGCCUGACAGCAAGUUCUGACUAGUGAAAGCACAUCUUUGUUGACAGAAACAUGUUCUCCUUCCUGCUUUCCUUAGAAUUCAAUGUCACUGCCAUUAGCUGAAUGACUUUCCUAAGGGUUACAGGGAUCCAUCAGAAGGAAUGCCAGAAGCUGACAGAGUUGGGCUUCUGACAGAGAGGAAAUCUCAAAAUUGUCACAGAAGAUUCUUCCCCUUCAGUAGCACCACUACCAUCCACCAUCUCAUCACCACCACCCCAACUCCUGGCUGUGCCCUGCUCCCCAUCCUGGCCCCACAUGAAGCUGGGCUGAUAAACUACAAAUCCACAAGUCAAGGGGCACAGCAAGUUCCCCAAAACCAAGACAUAUGUCUCAAGGCUGGGCAGGAAGUUGCCCCCAGGCCCUGAAGCCUGACCCCAGAGCCUCAGCCACCUUGCCUCUUUUCUACAUGAUGGUGUUACUUGCUUCUCUGGAGAGACUGAGCUGAGUGGGCAGUCUAGGAACCCCAUCUAGGUCUUUUUUUUUUUUCAUUUUUUUUUUAAAUUUUCACCUUUUUUUGA
Non-coding RNA from Macaca mulatta (Rhesus monkey), 2614 nucleotides. The record is from RefSeq and is a predicted model, not a curated record. Lineage: Eukaryota; Metazoa; Chordata; Mammalia; Primates; Cercopithecidae.